Gallus gallus (chicken) is the source of this 5527-nucleotide long non-coding RNA. The record is from Ensembl. NCBI's taxonomy places the organism in Eukaryota, Metazoa, Chordata, Aves, Galliformes, Phasianidae.
CAAAAGCUUUCUUGAGGAGGUCGGUAAACAUGGCAGUGACUGUCCCAGUCUGCGUGGCUUUUCUUCUGAGAUAAACAACGCGGUACAAAAUAGCUGACGUUUCACGUGCUGCAGUUGCAGCAUCUUCCUCUGAAGGAGCACUGCGGUUAAUGAUGCACGCACGUGGUCAUACCCAGGAGAUGCACAGGGUGAGGUCCCACCAGGACACCCCUCACCACGGGGAUGCAGCAGUUGAUUCUGGGGUCCCGUGGCAGCUCCACAUCCACAGUGACCAAAGGGCCCACAGGGACAGUGGCCCUGGAGGUAGCUGGUGACUGAAGACUGCUGGAUUGCUCCAUACCUGGAUGAGAUGUGUGAGGUCGCCGGGGAUGCUGGUGGCUGUGGGUCUCCUGAUGACCACAGCCAAGGCAGGCCAGGUUGGAUGGGGCCUUGGCAACCUGAGCUGGAUUUCAGCCUCCAGAUUUCAGCCCCCCAAAUGUGCCAAGCGUGAACCUUCAGCGAGAGCUUCAUCCACGCAACCCAUGCUGGACUAACUCAUCCCAGUCCAACCGUUCCCUGCAGCAGGAGUUUUGCGUUCAUGGAAGCACCUGGUGUAUUAGAAGUUGGUUUUGGAAUGCACUCACAGUGCCAACAGCCACAGUGACCGUCCUGCUGCCGGGCUGAGCAGUGGGGGGCUCUGCACUGGGGGAUGGAGCCUGAGCUGUGGCCUUGGGACCUGGCUGAGUUUCCCUGCUUCCAGCUGGGGGAUGGGGACAUCAGGAACAGGACCCAUCUAGGAACAGGAGCAGGUGCUGCCUUGCUUACCAUGGGGCUUUAAAGGCCAGGCUCACCCCAGCAAGGCAGUGGGUCCUCAGUUAGCUGCCCAGCUCCUUGUAAGGUCAUAUUUGUCAUCUCAAAAUACAGUUUGCUGUAGAACAGAGAAUAUUUAGAAGGGAUUUGAUAAGUAACAUCUGCUGCUGUACUGAAAUUUCAGUUCGAAGUGCUAAAAACUUUAAAAAGAAAGAGGUUUGGGUAAAAAUAAAAGGUCUCUGGAGAGGUCUCCUUGGCAGGAUCCUCCUCUCCUCCUUACACACAGCAGAUUUGUUCAUGUUUGCCAUUAUCCAUCAAACCAGAGCGCAGCAAAGGGCAGCUUUCAAGAGAUGAACCUGGAGGAGAUAAUAUUUCACACCGCAUAAAAUGCACCUCGGGAAUUUUCAGUUCUUCUUCCCUGUUACAUUACAAGGGCCUUCAUAAAAAGUGUCACAGCUCACGAGCUAAAAAAGAAAAAGAAGAAAAGAGAAAAAAAAAAAAAAAAGCAGCAGCUUGUGGCUUUGGAUGCAUUCAGUGCGCGUUUGUGGUCGGCGUUUCCCAGGCUGCUCGGGGGUGAGCGCCAGGUCGGCCCUCGCACGGCGCUCUGCAGGCGCUGUUUCUGUAUGAGUGAUAGCAGGCACUGAACGGCAGCACUGCGGCUGAAGGCUCCAUCCUGCCCAGGGGGUUGGGAUGGGGAUGCAGCUCCCAGCCGCCCCGCUGCUGCUGCUGUGUUCAAUGAGGUGGGAGUGGGCGCUAACCCGGGGUUUGAGGGAUAUAAGUAGGUUUUGCCUCCUCUAACGGAGAGGUUUGGCUUCAUCCUCGUUCAACUUCACUGCCACAAGGUGAGAUGGGGAACGGAUGGGUGAGCGUACAAAUGAGGAGGUGCUGCAGAGCAGCCUCAGUGCACAAUGUGGGGCAAUGUAAGUCACCGAGUGCUGCCGUAGGAAGAGGUGGGAGGCUCUGGUUUGGCAGUUACUAUAGCAAUUAACCCAAGCCCAGGGUUCCCCUGGGUACAGCCCUGGCGGUGCCUGCAUGCUCGCUGCAGAUGGGUUGUUGUGGUGCUGGGGUGUACUUGUGUGCUUGAUCUGUGUGUAAACACAAGAAGGCAGAUAUACAAACACUGCCCUGCACUCAACCUGGCUGCUCUAAAACAAACCAUCAUUAGAGGGAGGCAGUCCAGGAGGUCCAACCCUGACGCACACGGCUGUGCCUGCUGCCAGCCUGCUGCACCGAUGUGUCUUGCUUCCACAGAGCUCAAUUCACCGCACCAGAAGUAGUCCUAAAACCCAACACAAGGGACAGAUCCUUUGGUUUUCCAUAUUUUCUCCCCUGGGUAGGAAACAGGUCAGGUCUGCCAGCAGAACAGACCGCAGCAGAUGGGUUGCUUUCCUACUGCACUUUUUUGCAUGAAGGAAGAUGAUACCUUACACGUGAGGUGCCACCUCAGUCAGUCACUGCACAAUGCCUUUCCUUGUCCCCUCCAUGCCCUCAGCAGUCAGACAUCUGACUCCGAUUGCUCUCUUUCCCACUUGAUGUAAGGAGUAUUGUGCACGAAGAGAAGUGCACGGAGGUGAAACCCUCUGAGAAACAUUGCGGCCACUUCUCUUUUCCCAUCAGCAGAUAUUGCUUCAGUUCCCAUUUCCUACUAUUGACUUUUGUUGCCUUUGGGCCCUGAUCACUGGCUGCUUGCUAAGGAUUUCUGAGCCUUGGACCAUGACCUAAUUUCACUAUUUAAAAACAGAUCUUCAGUAUUCCUAUUGUGCUUUGUCUUUGAAUGGGCAUUUCUGCAAAACAGUUCCAUUUUCUCUGCCUGCAAGCAACACAAGAUCGAGCAAGGCGCUCACACCGUGGUACCAGCAGGGCCCAGCCAUGGGAACAAUCCCUGUCCCCCCCAUCCGGAGCCCUCUGCCCACCUCCCUCCGAUCAGACCCCGUGCUCCCCCCAGCCCUUCAUCUUAAAGAAAAACACCACAAUCACCACUGUGUAUCUCAGACGCCCUGCAAAAGCUGUGAGUUGCAGACCGCCAGAAAACUGCUCAGACGGUCACAGCGGCUGAGCAAUGCUGGCUCUCACCAUCACCGCUCCGCUGCCGUCCUGCUGCUGCUGCCCCAGGCCCUGCGACCUUUGCAGUGAUUAUUUUCGGUCCUGCGGAAAAGGAAAUAGGAAGUAGAGCCACUCAGAUGUGUUUUCGCACACCGCGGGGCUCUCCCAUGCUCAGACAGCACUGCUCGCUCUGCGGAGAGCUCUCGUUGCCAUUUAUUCGCUCUGGGAUGUUGCAAUCAGACCAAAACGGCAGCGCGGCUACCUGAGGGUGGAAGUGGCUGAGGAAGCAGAGAGCAGUCCCGGCAGUGGGGAUGCACCGCUGAGGUCAGAGUGGGACACAGCUUGAAAGAUGAGCACGGCUGGGCUCCAGGGCUUGGGCUGCAACCACCCUGCUGUUCUGGAGCCUCUGAUGCCUGGCUCAGAAACGUAUCUAAGGAGGUUUGUGUGUUCUUGUUCAAACUGCACUCAUUCUUGGCCUUAAUCCCACCUUCCCCUCCAACAGACAGGCUUUGGGUUUGGCUCUGCUUGCUGCCACACAGCGGUGCUGAGGACUGCCUCUGCUCAGCAUUAAUAGAGGGUCUGAGCAGCUCUGGUGGGUGCCCAAAAAGGACAGGGACCAGCUCCAGGCACAAGGCAAAACGGAGCUUCUGCUCCCCAUUACUUCCUUAUGCAUUCAUAUACAGAGGACAACGGUGUGGAGGCCAACAAGUUCAGAGGUGCUGCACACCUCCUUCCAGCUCUGCUCAUCAGCCUCACCUCCCGUUUUCUUCAUCAACAAGUGAGGAAUGGUCUGGUGUGCUUGUUCUAGAAAUAAUGUGCAUUCCAAGGCACUUCCCACACUGCAUAGAGGCAGAGGGACUCUUUUACUUUGGUUUUCUGCAUCUAGAUUGUUCCACUGAGGAGGAUUCUUGAGAAAUUAAAGCCAUUUGUGUGCAUGGCUGCAGCACUAAUAAAACCCAAAUGUGGGCAGAGGUUCUAGGAGCUUUGCUCUUGGUGACUUGCCUUGUCUCAGAUAGCAAAUUUAAGGCUUUAACAUGAAAUAAUUUGGCAGAAAAGCCACACAGAGACUGAUGGUGACUCAGCUCUGCUGCCGAAGGCGCGUAGAGGGCACUGGCUGGGAGCUCUGCUGUGUGUGCAGAACAUGAGAGCUGUGCUGGCAGAGCUGUGAGCGUGGGGGAGCAGAAGGAGCUGACUGAAGUACCAGCAAAACUUUACAAGAACUCAGCUCAGCUGAAGGGAUGCUGGAGGAGGCAGCUGCUGGUAACAGAGAUAGGAAACAGGUGGUAAAUCAGUGCCUAAUGAGGGGAGAGCAAAGAACAGCCUCAGUUGUGGUUACCUGUCCUGUGUUGGAGGAAUGGAGCAGAGCUGCAUGAAGGUCGGUGAUCUCUUCUUUGCGUUUGCUGGCUGUGGGCUUGGUGGGAUGAUGGAAGAAUGCCUGGAAGGUAAUGGCAAAAAUAAAUUCUUGCUCUGUCUGACCUGUGGGGCUGUGAGUGAUGGAGAUCAGGUGGUGGUGGUGGUGGUAGGAUGCAGAGUGAGAGGGAAGGAAGAAGACUGGUUAGCUUGGAUCCUCAGCAUGGCCUUAUGCCCUCAGGCAGCACCUCGGCUUGCAGCAAGUAUGAGGCAGAGGGCAGCAGCAAGGUGUGCUCUGGAAAUGCUCUGCUGGAAUGUGGUUUGGGCCAGGGGGAUGUUGGCAGUGUGAGCAUUUCCACUGCCACCUCCCUGAGCACUGCGGGCUGUUGUCAGCAGCGGAAUCACAAACAGCCACAAAGGACGCGCCCUGAUUUAUGCAUCAAAUACCAGGAAAGGCUUAAAUUCUGUUUGUCACUCAGCAGAUGGUGACGGUUGCCCCAGUAUGUGAAAUAUUUCAUGCCUGACACCUCAAUUCAGGAAACAGUGGUUUGCUCAGCAGAGGCGCAGGAGGCAGCGAGCUGUUAUCGAGGGUAACAUUGCCCUUUGCUUCUUUCUCUCUGCUGACAGAGUUUGUUUUCUAGAGCAGUGCUGUGCCCAUGGGCACAUGCAGUGGGGCACACCCCCAAACCGUGUUGGUUUUUUGGGUGUUUGGUACCAUAGUGAGUUCGUUUUCCUGCAGGGCCUGGCUGCUGCCUGCAGCCCUCACUUGCUGGGUUCCUGUUCCCUGGGCACCUCGUGCCUGAGGUUUGCUGAACCACAGAGAGCUCAUUGCAAAACUGGGCCGUGGAAAUCGCCCCUGGUGCUCUGAGCUGUUGUCCUGUAAGGCUGGAGCAAAGCCCUUACAGAGAAGGCAGCAGCAGGGGGGUGCUGCACCAUCCUCUCACCUCCCACCUGUGCCCUGGAGGUCCAGUGCCUCAAAGCAGAACCAAGCAAAGGAAGGUAGGCAUCUUCCUCCUUAUUCUCACCUGGGUUAUCUUCCUGCAUGUCCUUACACAGGCCAUGCUAUGACCAGAACUUCCUCUUGUGCAGACAGAGGAUGUGCUGCUCUCAACCUUGGAGGUGCUUCCUGGUUUCCCAGGGGGUUGGCAACACCGUAACCCAUCUGGAGGUGGUUGUGCAGCUGUGGAGGUGCAGGGCUUUGCUCCAUGGUGCACAGACCAACAACCUUUGUGCUGUGCCCUCUGAACCCCCUGCAGGUGCCCCAAAUCCCAGUGUCACCUCAUCAGGGAGAAGGAACAGCCACCAGAACUGGAGGACGCCCCACAAACACAGCAGCCCUGGCCCA